GAUGAACGCUAGCGGCAGGCCUAAUACAUGCAAGUCGAACGGUCAGCAAUGACAGUGGCGCACGGGUGCGUAACGCGUAUGCAACUUACCCAACAGUGGGGAAUAGCCCGGGGAAACCCGGAUUAAUACCGCAUAAGAAGAGUGAAGGGCAUCCUUUACUUUUGAAACAUUUAUGGCUGAUGGAUGGGCAUGCGUAAGAU
This 200-nucleotide ribosomal RNA is filed under the name uncultured bacterium. Its description in RNAcentral is "partial 16S ribosomal RNA". It matches the Rfam family "Bacterial small subunit ribosomal RNA", at positions 28 to 241 of the family's 1533-position model. The record is from RNAcentral.